Molecule: unclassified non-coding RNA, 1581 nt
Filed under: Penaeus japonicus
Lineage: Eukaryota; Metazoa; Arthropoda; Malacostraca; Decapoda; Penaeidae
Description: uncharacterized LOC122261567, transcript variant X3
Source: RNAcentral
CUCCCACAGGACCGCCCGCCCGCCCGCCCUCGACCCACCCUCGACCCACGAUGGCGCGUCACCAUCACCACCACCCGGCCGUCAAUGUGGCCACCAUCACCGAGGAGGAUGUGAUCGAAGAAGAAGUUGGAGAGGAUGGCAUGGUGGAAGUGGUGGCAGUACGUGAGAGAUAUCGACCGGAUAAUGAGAGCAGACUAUCCCGCGACGGCCUCGACGGAGCCCCAGCAGGAGACGCAGACGAAGGCGCUGACGGAGGGGACGAGCGCCGGUCAAGCGUUGUGAUCCUCGACCGGCCGAACAGCCUGGUGGAGAAGGACGUGGGGGAUACCUCCCUCAAUAGCUCCCUCUUGAGCGCCCUCGUCCUCGCCUCAGUCUCCUCCGCCUCCUCGUCCUCCUCGAGUUCCAACUUGAAGCGCUCCUCCUCCACCUCCUCCGUCUGCUCUGCCACGUCGUCCUCGGAGAAGAGUUCGAGUCCCAAGUCGAAGAGAACGGCCUCGAGGACGGCUGGGAGGGUGAUGGGCCAUACGAUGAACCUUUCGGGAAAAUUCGUCACAGAGUUGACCCUAUUUGACCCGAGCGAAGGGGCGGUCAGGACCUCCCACAUCAACCUGGGCGUUUUCUUAGCCACUGACCAGGCGAUGGGGGACCAUUCUAUUUAUAAGGUGUCACCCGUGUCGCCUUUGGCUUUGCUAAAGAUUAAGACCCAAGACCGACUCGUGCGAUUGAACGAUAUGUCUGUGGAAGGCUGGUCUCACAGCUGCAUCGUCGACUUUGUCAGAAAUCUCUCUCUUGCUGACAAUGUGACGACCGCGCCCACACCCUCUGCCACGCCCACACCCACGCUCACACCCACGCCCGCAUCCACGCCCACGCAGACGACGAAAGGAGGAGGAGGAGGAGGAGGAAAAGGAGGUGGUGGUGGUGGAGGAGGAGGAGGAGUGGGUGGAGGUGGAGGUGGAGGAGGAGGAGGAGGUAGUGGAGGUGGAGGUAGUGGAAGAGGAAGAGGAAGAGGAGGAGGAGGAGGAGCUGUAGGGAAGAUUUCGACCGAUCCAGGUGUACUUGUUCCUCUCUGCUUGGAGUACCGAAGGGCAGGGAAGAUGGUGCGCUCCGCUGACGAAGCUCCAGCGAGCAAGAGGGUCGAAGCCAUGCUAAGAGUUAGGCGCAAGAGAGCGAUCGUCGAGUCAGUCAAGGAAUCCGAAGUGAGAGUCCGUUACGAGAAUCAACAAGCAGUCAGGCUGAGAGUCAAGAAUGACCUUCCCCUUUACGUCAAGGUCAUCACACGAGGAAACGAGGUCAUGACCCUUACUACAGGGGAGACUGAUGUUCACGACGAGACGGCAGGGAACCACCGUCCCAGUCACGUCAUACACGCAGGUUGACAUCAAGUUCUUCCUGUUGCACGGGGUCGAGGGAAGUCCUUUUGUCUCCUUGCGAAACCUGCAUACUGGUACCUACCUAUCAGCUAGUUUCGAGGGCGUGAGGCUCGUCCGACCAAACAACCACACAGUGCUGCCAGAGUCCUGUUUAUUUCAAGUCCAUCUUUGUGAACACUGACCUCCAUCUCGUGUGUAUGAGAAGUGU